ACUUUAAGUCCAAAAUUUUUUAAGACACCCUUAAAUAGCAUAUUGAUUUUCACAGUUCGUCUCCUUCACAAUUGUCCGGACUUUAGUUCGUCUCCUUCAUAUAAGAUAGUCUCCUUCACAGACUCAGUUCACACAAAUAGUUCGUCUCCUAGACUCCUUCACAUAAAUAGUUCUUCUCCUUCACAUAAAUCAAUCAAUCUGAAAAGCAAAUAAUCAAUUGAGCUUUUCCAGCGGACUUCGUCUCUUUCAGUUCUUCAUCACUGUUUAAUUUCAGGUAUUAAUUCUAUUUUUUAGGAUUUUGAAAUUAAUUAUUUUGUUUAUGAGAUUUAGUCUCUUCUUUAAUUAUCUUUAAUUCGCUUGGCUCAAAAAUGGGGUCGUGAUUUUAGUAUUUGCAGAGCGUUACUUGUUGGGUUUUGCAGCAAAAUGAGCUUGUGUAAUUGUUCAGUUGUUUUACCAGGUGAUUCUUUUUUCUGCUCUUUUUAGCGUACUGGGUUUUUUUUCCCUUAUAUUUUCUUCUGAAGCUGGAUUUUGAGCUGUAAUGAUUGUCAUCUCCUCCUAAUCUGUAAGUUUCUCUCUCUAAAAAAACGUUUUUUCCCCUCUCAUGUUUUUGUCUUUUG
Molecule: long non-coding RNA, 617 nt
Filed under: Panax ginseng (ginseng)
Lineage: Eukaryota; Viridiplantae; Streptophyta; Magnoliopsida; Apiales; Araliaceae
Description: long non-coding RNA (PGIN_LNC007222)
Source: RNAcentral